RNAcentral lists this ribosomal RNA (550 nucleotides) under uncultured bacterium. Its description in RNAcentral is "bacterial SSU rRNA". It matches the Rfam family "Bacterial small subunit ribosomal RNA", at positions 355 to 896 of the family's 1533-position model. The record is from RNAcentral.
UAGGGAAUCUUCCACAAUGGGCGCAAGCCUGACCGAGCAACGCCGCGUGAGUGAAGAAGGUUUUCGGAUCGUAAAGCUCUGUUGUAAGUCAAGAACGAGUGUGAGAGUGGAAAGUUCACACUGUGACGGUAGCUUACCAGAAAGGGACGGCUAACUACGUGCCAGCAGCCGCGGUAAUACGUAGGUCCCGAGCGUUGUCCGGAUUUAUUGGGCGUAAAGCGAGCGCAGGCGGUUUGAUAAGUCUGAAGUUAAAGGCUGUGGCUCAACCAUAGUUCGCUUUGGAAACUGUCAAACUUGAGUGCAGAAGGGGAGAGUGGAAUUCCAUGUGUAGCGGUGAAAUGCGUAGAUAUAUGGAGGAACACCGGUGGCGAAAGCGGCUCUCUGGUCUGUAACUGACGCUGAGGCUCGAAAGCGUGGGGAGCGAACAGGAUUAGAUACCCUGGUAGUCCACGCCAUAAACGAUGAGUGCUAGGUGUUGGAUCCUUUCCGGGAUUCAGUGCCGCAGCUAACGCAUUAAGCACUCCGCCUGGGGAGUACGACCGCAAGGUUG